RNAcentral lists this long non-coding RNA (1814 nucleotides) under Limulus polyphemus (Atlantic horseshoe crab). RNAcentral describes it as "uncharacterized LOC111083091, transcript variant X2". The record is from RNAcentral. Lineage: Eukaryota; Metazoa; Arthropoda; Merostomata; Xiphosura; Limulidae.
AAUGAGUUUGAUUCUUCUUUUUAUGAUGAAGAAGAAAUAAUAGACCCAGAACCAGAAAUACUAAGGGUAGAAAGAGAAGAUAACGUAAUACUAGGUGAUAAGUUAAUAACAACAGAAGAUACACCAGUUAUUACCCCUAACAAUGAGGAUAGUAACUGAGGAUAAUAUCCCUAGUACCUCAUCAACGACACAAGCUGAUGUAGUGACCCAUGAUUAUAAUCUUAGAUCACGAGUACGAUUCUAUCCGAAAAUGGUCGUACACAAGCCUAAAAAUAACGUAAAUACAGUUAACACUGUAUCUUACGAAGCCAGUGUUAUUAAUGCUUUUAAUAACAUGAUAGAUUACUUGCGAAGUUGUAAAUAAGAUAUAUAUACUUUUGGUUAUUAUAUUUGUUAUAUGUUUAAAUGUUAGAUAUUUUAUAGGUAACUAAUAGUAUUAUUUGGUGGAUAUAUCUUUAGGAUUCUUAUACUGUUGCUGACGAAAACUGAAACCGGACAGAAUGAAACAAAGACAAAGAGCUGCCAUCGUAGAAAUGGAAGGUUUUCGGAUCAACGGGCUGUACCUGAUCAAAGAAUUAGCUGUAAGAGACUGCCGAUCAGGUUGGACUGACGUUUAAUGCUUCAGGCCCCCAUACCCGGAAGAUCGUCCGAGCGACGCAGACAAGAGGCACGUCCUAUGGUGUACUGUAUAUCUCCAUGGUCUCCGUUGGAAUGAUGGCGAUCACACUAUGCUGGACUUCCUACGGAUUCGCCAGGGGAUAAGACAGGACUAUGUUAAGAUCUACACCAAAGAUACUAUCUAAUUAUGAGCAUGGCUGUUCGUUACAAAUGUGGACUCUGUACUCCCGUUGUUCUGUGCUCAGAAAGUAAGAAUUAUGGAACAGUUUUCUAUGUGGCUGAUUAUUGAAGUGGUUUAGAGAUGGACAAUAAUAGAAAAUUGGAAACUUGAUAAAGCGAUGGUGAGAGAAGGUACAUCACAUGUAAUGACUUCAUAUUCCAGGUACAUCACCUUUAAUGACUUCAUAUCCCAGCUACAUCACCUGUAAUGACUUCAUAUUCCAGCUAUAUCACCUGUAAUGACUUCAUAUCCCAGCUACAUCACCUGUAAUGACUUCAUAUCCCAGCUACAUCACCUAUAAUGACUUCAUAUCCCAGCUACAUCACUUGUAAUGAAGACAUUUUUAGGCAACUAUUUUUUGUUUGCAAAACCCCCAAGUAUCUUGUUAAAAUCUAAGUGAUACACACAACUGUCCAAUUUAGUACUUUUAGCAAACAUCUAUUAAAUUAUGUGAGAUUUAUAAAUGUUCCCUCAAAUCACUAUUAGGUUUUUUAUCUGUCAUUAAUUUUCUACACAAAAAUUUAGACCUAAAAAUUUUAGAGAUUCUGGCUGAAAGAAGUAGAAUUAUGAUUUGACUUGCAUUGCUGGUCAAAUGUUAUCAAAACUGUAUGCUAACAUAUGAAUUAUUUGCAUAAGUGGAACAAUGCAGCCUUCCUAUUUUUAACAUGUUUAAUAUAAAAUUUUAAGGACUAAACAAAAGUUAAAAUUCUUAACCAUCAAAUAGUGUAGUGGUUCUUUCCAUUUCUGCAUGUACUACUUUUGUGAUGUGUAAACCUAGUAUGUGUUUGGCCAGUAAAGUAGUAAUUUUUAAUGUAUGUUUGGCCAGUAAAGUAGUAAUUUUUAAUGUAUGUUUGGCCAGUAAAGUAGUAAUUUUUAAUGUAUGUUUGGCCAGUAAAGUAGUAAUUUUUAAUGUGUGUUUGGCUAGUAAAGUAGUAAUUUGUAAUGUAUGUUUGGUCAGUAAAGUAGUAAUUUUUAA